GUGAAAGAAGUGGAGUUGUUCACCAGCUAGAUAUAGCCAAACCAUUGUAGCAGUGCAAGUUCUGUACUACUGCCCUGCCAAUCGGCCUCAAUCUUGGACUGGAGGGAGCACCUCUAGAUGUGAGACUCUCCAUGCUUCAAGCAGUCUUGUUA
RNAcentral lists this small RNA (152 nucleotides) under Chelonoidis abingdonii (Abingdon island giant tortoise). RNAcentral describes it as "TUC338 (ENSCABG00000013566.1)". Lineage: Eukaryota; Metazoa; Chordata; Testudines; Testudinidae. The record is from RNAcentral.